GAUGAACGCUAGCGGCAGGCUUAAUACAUGCAAGUCGAGGGGGCAGCAAUGUCACCGGCGAACGGGUGCGUAACGCGUAUGCAACCUACCUACAUCAGGGGGAUAGCCCUAGGAAACUGGGAUUAACACCGCAUAACAUAUGACGAGGCAUCUUGUUCUAUUGAAAUAUUUAUAGGAUGUAGAUGGGCAUGCGUAGGAUUAGCUAGUUGGUAAGGUAACGGCUUACCAAGGCUACGAUCCUUAGGGGCUCUGAGAGGAGUAUCCCCCACACUGGCACUGAGAUACGGGCCAGACUCCUACGGGAGGCAGCAGUAGGGACUAUUGGCAAUGGAGGCAACUCUGACCCAGCCAUGCCGCGUGCAGGAAGACGGUCCUCUGGAUUGUAAACUGCUUUUGAAUGGGAAGAAUGUGCGGUUUGCGAACUGUAAUGACGGUACCAUUAGAAUAAGCCACGGCUAACUACGUGCCAGCCGCCGCCGUAA
Molecule: ribosomal RNA, 482 nt
Filed under: uncultured bacterium
Lineage: Bacteria
Description: partial 16S ribosomal RNA
Rfam family: Bacterial small subunit ribosomal RNA
Source: RNAcentral